UGUUUUUGAGAUGAUUGCUUAGAUGAGAUUAUUUCUUGAUUCUCCUUCAUAAAAAAAAAAAUAGUUUCAUUGUUCUUUGGCUUAUCAGUUUCUAUUUUCAUGCAAUUUUAGUAUCUGUAUGGUACACAUGGACCCAACCAGGGACAGCAAUAAGCAAAACUCAUAUGUCCACUGGCCUUUUUCAGUAACUAAAACAAACAUUCCUACCACUUGUUCAGGCUGCCAAAAGCACUUCAGGGGCCUGCUCAGAUUUUACUAGGAUUCUUCAAUGUCAUCAUUCAUGUACAACAUACUGUGAUGCAGUAUCAGAACUGGCUGAUCCUGAGAUAGAUUGAGACAAGCAGCAACAGCUGGAUUUGUUCUUCCUGUUGUUUUUUUGUCAAAAAGAGUUCAAAUUACAAGUUUUCUCCUCAAAUGCUUGUCUUUUUGUGAUACAGAAAGCCCUUCCCUGAAGAUAGUGUAGUCAGAGCCAGAAGAAGGGUGUACAAUUCCAUGCUUUCCGGGUGCAUCUCCAAAACAGUGAGGUACAGUUAAUGCAACAGUCCUUGCACAUUAAUUUAGUGUAUAUCAGAGAUAAGGAUAUGGCUUUCUAAACUGUUAAUGUAAUUUUUUGUCACAUCAACUUCUAGAGAACAGGGAGAUCUCGCUAUAUAAAUCUGGCUUCUUAAAAUGACACAGGUGAACAUACUACUCUGAUUGGUGUCUGGGCAUUGCAGAUUUUAGUUAUUAUUGUUUCUGACAUUCCUAAUUACACUCCAUACUCAGAUGAGCUCAUUGGCUGAAAAUUUGGCUAAUUACACAUACCAUUCACACUUAAGUAGCCCAACAACUUCCAAACCUCACUGGAUCAAGAUGGUAUUAUAAAAGAGGCAGCAUUAACAGAAUAAGGGAUUAUCAAUCCUUUGCAAGGAUGGUUCAAGCUGGUGAUUCUGAAAGUUAGACAUUUUUAACUACUGUAUUUAACAACAAAGUGUUUCCAGAGAAUUAAGAAUUAUAAAGCCAUUAAUAUUUUCAGGCACUUACUUAUUUGAUUAUCACUUCAUUGAUAAUCAGAUAUCCAUAAAUACCUCAACUAUCAGCAGACAUUAUUCAGCAUUAGUCUACAGCAUGAUUUGGAUCUACAGCUGACAAUCAUAGCAAAGAACUAGGAAUCUACUACCACAGCAUCCUUGCUUUCUCUUUCUUAAAAAAUCAAUCAAAAUACUUUUUAUCAUCUUACUACUUACAAAAAAUCCUACCAGUUUUUUUAAUGUAUUUUCUCCAAUCAUAAAACAAACAGCUAAUCUUUUAUUCACUCACAGCAUAACAUCCUGCUCUUAGACAACAGAAGAUAAUUUCUUUCCCAUGCUGACAUGUUUGUUUGACAUUACCCAACAUGAACACAAAUUAUAAAGUAAAUGUUAUAUGGUAAAGAUAUCAAACUAGUUGCUCCUAACUUAUUUUAACUACUAAAGGCAGGAUGACUUGAGAUGUGUGCUUUCUGUGCUGAGAAAGACUACAAAGUUUGGAGUAGUUUAUGGAAGAGGUGAUUAUUUAGGGAUGAAAUUGUACAUGUGGAAAUUAAGACUCAUCCUAUUCAAUAAUCAGUGAGCUCAGCAUUGAAUGAUCUGGAGGCAACAACCCACAAGGCAUUCUAGUGUGGGAAAGAUCCAUAUCAUUUUAUGAAGAGGAGAGAAUGUAUUCUCAGACACUAAAAUUUCUUUGUCUCUUUGAAAGUUAUUACAUCCAGUUGCUUCUUUAUGGUGAGAGGAAGGCUACAGACUUAAUUUUAGCAUUCUACUUACUGUAUCAAUCAACAAACUCAGAUUAAGCGGUGAGUUUAAUAUUCUUUUCCCGCAGAUUUUAAAUCCUUUAAAAGGUAACUAAUCUUUUAUUAUCCUGCAUUUAUAAAAAAUAUUAGUACAUUUUGUGUACUUUUCUAACAUCCUGAAUUGUAAACAUUUAUAUUUACAGGUAUAUAGAAUGUAUAUAUCUGUUUAUAUUCCUAAUUUUAAUCUCUUCAUGUUGUUUACACAGAGUAUAUCCUACACCCAUA
Prinia subflava (tawny-flanked prinia) is the source of this 2035-nucleotide long non-coding RNA. RefSeq lists it as uncharacterized. The record is from RefSeq and is a predicted model, not a curated record. NCBI's taxonomy places the organism in Eukaryota, Metazoa, Chordata, Aves, Passeriformes, Cisticolidae. The transcript has 3 exons.